Long non-coding RNA from Lates calcarifer (barramundi perch), 186 nucleotides. RefSeq lists it as uncharacterized. NCBI's taxonomy places the organism in Eukaryota, Metazoa, Chordata, Actinopteri, Centropomidae. The record is from RefSeq and is a predicted model, not a curated record. The transcript has 2 exons.
AAGAAUGUCCCCUAACACACUCGGACACAUUGCCUCUACACCCACUAUGCAUUAAGGGUGAAUCAAAGAGGAUUUUAAAACCCUGGAUGACAAUAUAAAGGAUCCAUUUGUGGGGACUUGUGCAGAGAGCUGUGUUUGCCUAUAACAAAAUAUUUUUAAAGAUUUAAAUAAAAGUGUCUGACUUUA